AAACGUAGGAGGCGAGCGUUAUCCGGAUUUAUUGGGCGUAAAGGGCAAGUAGGCGGUAGGCAAAGUUGGUUGUGACAUCUCCCGGCUCAACUGGGAGGGUGCGGCCAAAACUAGCAUACUAGAGGGCAGAAGAGGGAAGUGGAAUUCCUGGUGUAGCGGUGGAAUGCUCAGAUACCAGGAGGAACACCAGUGGCGAAGGCGGCUUCCUGGUCUGCACCUGACGCUGAGAGGCGAAAGCUAGGGGAGCGAACGGGCUUAGAUACCCCGGUAGUCCUAGCCGUAAACGUUGGAUACUGGGUAUUUGGGAGGUAAGACUUCUGAGUGCCGAAGCAAACGCGUUAAGUAUCCCGCCUGGGGACUACGGCCGCAAGGUUAAA
RNAcentral lists this ribosomal RNA (377 nucleotides) under uncultured bacterium. Its description in RNAcentral is "bacterial SSU rRNA". It matches the Rfam family "Bacterial small subunit ribosomal RNA", at positions 523 to 898 of the family's 1533-position model. The record is from RNAcentral.